UGCUCCUACGGGAGGCAGCAGUAGGGAAUUUUCGUCAAUGGGCGCAAGCCUGAACGAGCAAUGCCGCGUGAACGAGGAAGGUCUUCGGAUCGUAAAGUUCUGUUGAAGGGGAAAAAGAGCGGAGAGAGGAAAUGGUCUCCGAUUGAUAUUACCCUUCGAGGAAGUCACGGCUAACUACGUGCCAGCAGCCGCGGUAAUACGUAGGGGGCUAGCGUUAUCCGGAAUUACUGGGCGUAAAGGGUGCGUAGGUGGUUUCUUAAGUCAGAGGUGAAAGGCUACGGCUCAACCGUAGUAAGCCUUUGAAA
This 305-nucleotide ribosomal RNA is filed under the name uncultured bacterium. RNAcentral's name for it is "bacterial SSU rRNA". It matches the Rfam family "Bacterial small subunit ribosomal RNA", at positions 334 to 632 of the family's 1533-position model. The record is from RNAcentral.